CAAGUCGAACGAUGAUCAGGAGCUUGCUCCUGUGAUUAGUGGCGAACGGGUGAGUAACACGUGAGUAACCUGCCCCUGACUCUGGGAUAAGCGUUGGAAACGACGUCUAAUACUGGAUAUGAUCACUGGUCGCAUGGCCUGGUGGUGGAAAGAUUUUUUGGUUGGGGAUGGACUCGCGGCCUAUCAGCUUGUUGGUGAGGUAAUGGCUCACCAAGGCGACGACGGGUAGCCGGCCUGAGAGGGUGACCGGCCACACUGGGACUGAGACACGGCCCAGACUCCUACGGGAGGCAGCAGUGGGGAAUAUUGCACAAUGGGCGAAAGCCUGAUGCAGCAACGCCGCGUGAGGGAUGACGGCCUUCGGGUUGUAAACCUCUUUUAGUAGGGAAGAAGGGAGCUUCGGUUCUUGACGGUACCUGCAGAAAAAGCACCGGCUAACUACGUGCCAGCAGCCGCGGUAAUACGUAGGGUGCAAGCGUUGUCCGGAAUUAUUGGGCGUAAAGAGCUCGUAGGCGGUUUGUCGCGUCUGCUGUGAAAUCCCGAGGCUCAACCUCGGGCUUGCAGUGGGUACCGGCAGACUAGAGUGCGGUAGGGGAGAUUGGAAUUCCUGGUGUAGCGGUGGAAUGCGCAGAUAUCAGGAGGAACACCGA
Molecule: ribosomal RNA, 650 nt
Filed under: Curtobacterium sp. 3361-4a
Lineage: Bacteria; Bacillati; Actinomycetota; Actinomycetes; Micrococcales; Microbacteriaceae
Description: SSU rRNA
Rfam family: Bacterial small subunit ribosomal RNA
Source: RNAcentral